ACACGUAUGAAGGUCAAGCUGAAAGACUUUACCCAAUGAUGUAAGUGGUGGUGCAUGGUCGUUCGUGGUUCGUGGAUUGAUUCGUCUGGUUAAUUCCGAUAACGAGCGAGACCCUAUCGUUCCUAAUAGGGGGCUAUAGCCCAACCGGUCGAAAGGCCGGUUAGCUAAAGCUUAAGAUUGGCUUCUUAGACGUAUCAGAGCCGAUAAGGUUCUUGAAAUGGGUUAAUAACAGGUCAGUCAUGCCCUUAGAUGUUCUGGGCCGCACGCGCGUUACAAUGGCAUGUAAAGCGAGUGCUCACUGGUGAGUUUACCGAUGUUGAGAGGCACCGGCAAUCCAUAAUCCCUGCCUUGACUGGGAUAGAUCAUUGCAAUUAUUGGUCUUAAACGAGGAAUUUUUAGUAAUAGCCAGGUCAUUAACCUGCGCUGA
This 427-nucleotide ribosomal RNA is filed under the name Badhamia macrocarpa. Its description in RNAcentral is "SSU rRNA". It matches the Rfam family "Eukaryotic small subunit ribosomal RNA", at positions 1230 to 1644 of the family's 1831-position model. Lineage: Eukaryota; Evosea; Eumycetozoa; Physariida; Physaraceae. The record is from RNAcentral.